This 880-nucleotide ribosomal RNA is filed under the name Phylloporia sp. MUCL/YOM-47. RNAcentral describes it as "eukaryotic LSU rRNA". It matches the Rfam family "Eukaryotic large subunit ribosomal RNA", at positions 66 to 915 of the family's 3401-position model. Lineage: Eukaryota; Fungi; Basidiomycota; Agaricomycetes; Hymenochaetales; Hymenochaetaceae. The record is from RNAcentral. RNAcentral also lists the same sequence under 1 other name.
UAACGAGGAUUCCCCUAGUAACUGCGAGUGAAGCGGGAAGAGCUCAAAUUUGUAAUCUGGCGGUCUCUGGCCGUCCGAGUUGUAAUCUGUAGAGGCGUCGUCCGCGUCGGCCCGUGUAUAAGUCUCCUGGAACGGAGCGUCAUAGAGGGUGAGAAUCCCGUCCAUGACAUGGACCACCGAUGCUUUGUGAGGCGCCCUCGAAGAGUCGCGUUGUUUGGGAAUGCAGCGCAAAAUGGGUGGUAGAUUCCAUCUAAGGCUAAAUAUUGGCGAGAGACCGAUAGCGAACAAGUACCGUGAGGGAAAGAUGAAAAGCACUUUGAAAAGAGAGUUAAACAGUACGUGAAAUUGUUGAAAGGGAAACGCUUGAAGUCAGUCGCGUUCUGAGGCACUCAGCCUUGCUUCGGCUUGGUGUACUUGCCUUAGGACGGGUCAACGUCAAUUUUGGCUGGCGGAUAAGGGUGAGGGGAAUGUAGCGCCAUUUCGGUGGCGUGUUAUAGCCUCUUAUCGAAUGCGUCAGCUGGGAUUGAGGACUGCAGCACGCCCUUGUGGUCGGAGGGGUUCACCCCCCUCAUGUAACGUGCUUAGGAUGUUGGCAUAAUGGCUUUAAGCGACCCGUCUUGAAACACGGACCAAGGAGUCUAACAUGCUUGCGAGUGUUUGGGUGGAAAACCCUUGCGCGUAAUGAAAGUGAAAGUUGGGAGCCCUCUGUGAAGGGGGGUGCACCGACGCCCGGCCCUGACGUUCUCUGASGGUGCUGCGGUAGAGCAAGCAUGUUGGGACCCGAAAGAUGGUGAACUAUGCCUGAAUAGGGCGAAGCCAGAGGAAACUCUGGUGGAGGCUCGUAGCGAUUCUGACGUGCAAAUCGAUCGUCGAAUUUGGG